CAGCAGCCACGGUAAUACGGAGGGUGCGAGCGUUAAUCGGAAUAGCUGGGCGUAAAGGGCACGCAGGCGGUGACUUAAAUGAGGUGUGAAAGCCCCGGGCUUAACCUGGGAAUUACAUUUCAUACUGGGUCGCUAGAGUACUUUAGGGAGGGGUAGAAUUCCACGUGUAGCGGUGAAAUGCGUGGAGAUGUGGAGGAAUACCGAAGGCGAAGGCAGCCCCUUGGGAAUGUACUGACGCUCAUGUGCGAAAGCGUGGGGAGCAAACAGGAUUAGAUACCCGUGUAGUCCCUGUCUCUUAUAC
RNAcentral lists this ribosomal RNA (301 nucleotides) under uncultured bacterium. Its description in RNAcentral is "partial 16S ribosomal RNA". It matches the Rfam family "Bacterial small subunit ribosomal RNA", at positions 509 to 807 of the family's 1533-position model. The record is from RNAcentral.